Molecule: ribosomal RNA, 253 nt
Filed under: uncultured bacterium
Lineage: Bacteria
Description: partial 16S ribosomal RNA
Rfam family: Bacterial small subunit ribosomal RNA
Source: RNAcentral
UACAGAUGUCUCAAGCGUUGUUCGGAUUCAUUGGGCGUAAAGGGUGCGUAGGCGGCGCGGUAAGUCGGGUGUGAAAUCUUGGAGCUUAACUCCGAAACUGCAUUCGAUACUGCCGUGCUUGAGGACUGGAGAGGAGACUGGAAUUUACGGUGUAGCGGUGAAAUGCGUAGAUAUCGUAAGGAAGACCAGUGGCGAAGGCGGGUCUCUGGACAGUUCCUGACGCUGAGGAGCGAAAGCGUGGGGAGCGAACAGG